RNAcentral lists this ribosomal RNA (253 nucleotides) under uncultured bacterium. RNAcentral describes it as "partial 16S ribosomal RNA". It matches the Rfam family "Bacterial small subunit ribosomal RNA", at positions 524 to 776 of the family's 1533-position model. The record is from RNAcentral.
UACGUAGGGUGCGAGCGUUAAUCGGAAUUACUGGGCGUAAAGCGUGCGCAGGCGGCUUUGCAAGACAGAUGUGAAACCCCGGGGCUCAACCCCGGAACUGCAUCCGAUACUGCGUGGCUAGAGGUAGGUAGGGGAGAUCGGAAUUCCUGGUGUAGCGGUGAAAUGCGCAGAUAUCAGGAGGAACACCGGUGGCGAAGGCGGAUCUCUGGGCCUUACCUGACGCUCAGGCACGAAAGCUAGGGGAGCGAACAGG